UACGGAGGGUGCAAGCGUUAUCCGGAUUUACUGGGUUUAAAGGGUGCGUAGGCGGGCCUGUAAGUCAGUGGUGAAAUCUUCCCGCUUAACGGGAAAACUGCCAUUGAUACUAUAGGUCUUGAAUUCAGUUGAGGUGGGCGGAAUGUGUCGUGUAGCGGUGAAAUGCUUAGAUAUGACACAGAACGCCGAUUGCGAAGGCAGCUCGCUAAACUGACAUUGACGCUGAGGCACGAAAGCGUGGGGAGCAAACAGG
RNAcentral lists this ribosomal RNA (253 nucleotides) under uncultured bacterium. Its description in RNAcentral is "partial 16S ribosomal RNA". It matches the Rfam family "Bacterial small subunit ribosomal RNA", at positions 524 to 776 of the family's 1533-position model. The record is from RNAcentral.